AGGACGAACGCUGGCGGCGUGCUUAACACAUGCAAGUCGAGCGAGGCCCCUCCUUCGGGAGGGUGUCCUAGCGGCGAACGGGUGAGUAACACGUGGGCAACCUGCCCUCAGCUCUGGGAUAACCCCGGGAAACCGGGGCUAAUACCGGAUACGACCACUUCACGCAUGUGAUGGUGGUGGAAAGUUCUGGCGGUGGAGGAUGAGCUCGCGGCCUAUCAGCUUGUUGGUGGGGUAAUGGCCCACCAAGGCAACGACGGGUAGCCGGCCUGAGAGGGUGACCGGCCACGACUGGGACUGAGACACGGCCCAGACUCCUACGGGAGGCAGCAGUGGGGAAUAUUGGACAAUGGGCGAAAGCCUGAUCCAGCAACGCCGCGUGAGGGAUGACGGCCUUCGGGUUGUAAACCUCUUUCACCUGUGACGAAGCGAAAGUGACGGUAGCGGGAGAGAAGCACCGGCAACUACGUGCCAGCAGCCGC
This 479-nucleotide ribosomal RNA is filed under the name uncultured bacterium. RNAcentral's name for it is "SSU rRNA". It matches the Rfam family "Bacterial small subunit ribosomal RNA", at positions 26 to 518 of the family's 1533-position model. The record is from RNAcentral.